RNAcentral lists this ribosomal RNA (253 nucleotides) under uncultured bacterium. RNAcentral's name for it is "partial 16S ribosomal RNA". It matches the Rfam family "Bacterial small subunit ribosomal RNA", at positions 524 to 776 of the family's 1533-position model. The record is from RNAcentral.
UACAGAGGGUGCGAGCGUUAAUCGGAAUUACUGGGCGUAAAGCGUGCGUAGACGGUUAUUUAAGUCAGGUGUGAAAGCCCCGGGCUCAACCUGGGAAUUGCAUUUGAGACUGAAUAGCUAGGGUGCGGAAGAGGGAAGCGGAAUUUCCGGUGUAGCGGUGAAAUGCGUAGAUAUCAGGAAGAACACCCGUGGCGAAGGCGGCUCUCUGGGACGGUACUGACGCUGAGACGCGAAAGCGUGGGGAGCGAACAGG